UACGUAGGGGGCUAGCGUUGUCCGGAUUUAUUGGGCGUAAAGAGCGUGUAGGCGGCCUUACAGGUCAGCUGUGAAAACUCGAGGCUCAACCUCGAGAGGUCGGUUGAAACCGUAUGGCUAGAGUCCGGAAGAGGAGAGUGGAAUUCCUGGUGUAGCGGUGAAAUGCGCAGAUAUCAGGAAGAACACCGAUGGCGAAGGCAGCUCUCUGGGACGGUACUGACGCUGAGACGCGAAAGCGUGGGGAGCGAACAGG
Molecule: ribosomal RNA, 253 nt
Filed under: uncultured bacterium
Lineage: Bacteria
Description: partial 16S ribosomal RNA
Rfam family: Bacterial small subunit ribosomal RNA
Source: RNAcentral